This 468-nucleotide ribosomal RNA is filed under the name uncultured bacterium. Its description in RNAcentral is "partial 16S ribosomal RNA". It matches the Rfam family "Bacterial small subunit ribosomal RNA", at positions 28 to 507 of the family's 1533-position model. The record is from RNAcentral.
GACGAACGCUGGCGGCGUGCUUAACACAUGCAAGUCGCACGGAGCGCCCCUGCUUUUGUGGGGGGCUCGAGUGGCGAACGGGGGAGUAACACGUGAGUAACCUGCCCACGACUUUGGGAUAACUUCAGGGAACUGGGACUAAUACCGGAUAGGAGAUCCUGCUGCCUGGUGGGGGUUGGAAUGCUUCGGCGGAUGGGGAUGGACUGGCGGCUUAUCAGCUUGUUUGUGGGGUAGUGGCUGACCAAGGCUUUGACGGGUAGCCGGCCGGAGAGGGUGACCGGCCAGAUUGGGAGUGAGAGACGGACGAGACAGAUACGGGAGGCAGCAGGGGGGAAUAAAGCAUAGUGGGCGGGAGCCAGACUGAGCGACGCCGGGUGCGUGAAGAAGGCCGGCGGGUGGGUAACCGCUUGCGUUUGUGAGGGAUCGUAAGUGACGGUAAUGGGUAAAGAAGCCCCGGCUAACUACGUG